This 448-nucleotide ribosomal RNA is filed under the name uncultured bacterium. RNAcentral's name for it is "bacterial SSU rRNA". It matches the Rfam family "Bacterial small subunit ribosomal RNA", at positions 29 to 507 of the family's 1533-position model. The record is from RNAcentral.
AACGAACGCUGGCGGCAUGCCUAACACAUGCAAGUCGAGCGAGAAAGCGGGAGCAAUCCUGUGAGUACAGCGGCGCACGGGUGAGUAACACGUGGAUAAUCUACCUUGAAGUGGGGAAUAACUCUGGGAAACCGGAGCUAAGACCGCAUACGCCUGAGAAGGGAAAGCCGCAAGGCGCUUUGAGAGGAGUCCGCGGCCGAUUAGCUAGUUGGUGAGGUAAUGGCUCACCAAGGCGGGGAUCGGUAGCCGGCCUGAGAGGGCACACGGCCACACUGGCACUGAAACACGGGCCAGACUCCUACGGGAGGCAGCAGUGGGGAAUCUUGCACAAUGGAGGCAACUCUGAUGCAGCGACGCCGCGUGAGUGAUGAAGGCCCUAGGGUUGUAAAGCUCUUUUACCCGGGAAGAUAAUGACUGUACCGGGAGAAUAAGCCCGGCUAACUUCGUG